RNAcentral lists this ribosomal RNA (256 nucleotides) under uncultured bacterium. Its description in RNAcentral is "partial 16S ribosomal RNA". It matches the Rfam family "Bacterial small subunit ribosomal RNA", at positions 524 to 776 of the family's 1533-position model. The record is from RNAcentral.
UACGUAGGGGGCAAGCGUUGUCCGGAAUCAUUGGGCGUAAAGAGCGUGUAGGCGGCCAGAAAAGUCCGCUGUGAAAACUCGAGGCUCAACUUCGAGCUGUCGGUGGAAACUUUCUGGCUAGAGUCCGGAAGAGGAGAAUGGAAUUCCUGGUGUAGCGGUGAAAUGCGUAGAUAUCUGGAGGAACACCGGUGGCGAAGGCGGCAUCCUGGACCGGUAUUGACGCUGAGGCGCGGAAAGCCAGGGGAGCAAGCACGGG